UAUGGUUCAAUUGCAGGUAUCUUUUGUCUCCUCAGCUGAGAUUUUCAGUAUCUUUUGUAGCUUCAGUGUGAAGUAUUUUACUGAUAUUUUAAGUGGUGUGAUUACUGUUCUCCUGCAUAUCUUUCAUCCACUUGUCAUACAAAAUUCAUUUAUCUGAAAACUUGGAUGCAUAAUACCAUAUCAAGGGCAAUUGAUGCAAGUUUUAUAGACUGUAAACCCGUUGUACAUGUUGAGUUUGUUUUAGUGGGAUGAACUGCGAAGGUUCGUGAACUAAUUCUGUAACUUCUUAAUGCAACAAUAAAUUAGUUUGGCACGAAAAUUGAAACUAUUUCCUCCAAGGCCACCAUUUUUUGGCUCAGAAACAGCCGUAAGGCGAUGCUUCACAACCAAAUUUAAAGUUUUUGAUAAACUAUGGCUUUGUUGAUGAAGAUAACCCUAAAACUGAGUUCAUUCUGACAGGUUUGUUUGUAAGCCUACUUUUUUCUCCAUCUAGAGCUUAUUGGUCUUGGACCCUUGGUUCUUACAUGAUCUCUUUGAUCCAGGCACCUCAGCAGCAAAGAUCCUCAAUAACAUGAUAAGAGAUUAGUUGCUCAACUAAAUGGAAAACUAUAGCUAUAUAUACAAGAGAUUUAAUCAUUUCCCUUUUUUUUUCUUUUUCUUUUUCAUGUAAAUCUUUAUGCCGCAACCACAUGUGUCCGUUGGCAAAGAAUUAAGAUAUGCUUCCUUACUCUUCAACCAGGCUAUGUUGCAGAGCAGAUCAAUCUGAGUUUCAAUAUGUAAAUUUUAUUAGGGCCCAUAUGCAAGUAAGUUGACUUACUACAAUUUUAUACCAGAGAAUAAUUGAUUAUACUUUCUUUUGUUAAUUAAUUUAACUUCCAUGAAUAACAAUUUAAAAUAUCUUUCUGAAUGAAUGUAACAAUUUACCUAUUAAUCGUGUGCCUUGAGGAAAAGUUGAACUGACAAAGCGGUUUCCAGGUGAUACUAUAUCUUCCUGCCUUGCUUCUAAAGUCUUUUAGUCAAAUUAAAGAAACGAUACUCUCUCAGGGUACUUUUAUGUCUGUCUGUCUAUCUGUCUCUAUCUCAUCCUUUAUUACUUGUUUUGGAUUUCAGGAAAUUUAGGAAAUGGUCAAGCUCCGAAUUAUCAAUAAUCCUGUAAACAGCGAUGUAGCAAUCACUUGUAACUGCCAAAUUGGAAGAUGGGCAUGAACUAGGUAAUCCCUUCAAGAACGUUGGAAGAAUCGGAAGAGGGGCAUGAACUAGGGUUAAUCAUCUGGCUUCGUUUUGUAAAUGGGAAGUCGUGGCACUUGGAUUUAUAAUGGAGAAACAUAAAGCUCGAGAAACAGUUUCAAAAUCUUACUAGGAAGUCUCGCUUCAAGAAAGGCCUGGCACUGGAAAUACACAACUUGCAAAAGCAUUAAAUUCUUUCAGGAAAAAACUCUCUCUCUCUCAAGUAAGCCUACAUGCUAGAUGCUAAAGUAAAUGAUCAUUUGAUUCAUUAUCUAUAUACCUACGUAUUGUGAUUGAUUCUAGACUGGCUUCUUUGGACCGUUUCCAUUUACAGAUAUGAAAUACUUAUACUUGAUAGUUGAUUUUAUUGUUUCAGCAACACUAGGCAUUACAUCCAGCAAUCACGUACGAAACUGUCUUGUGACAA
Papaver somniferum (opium poppy) is the source of this 1654-nucleotide long non-coding RNA. RefSeq lists it as uncharacterized. NCBI's taxonomy places the organism in Eukaryota, Viridiplantae, Streptophyta, Magnoliopsida, Ranunculales, Papaveraceae. The transcript has 3 exons. The record is from RefSeq and is a predicted model, not a curated record.